Molecule: RNA transcript, 6476 nt
Organism: Phragmites australis (common reed)
Lineage: Eukaryota; Viridiplantae; Streptophyta; Magnoliopsida; Poales; Poaceae
Exons: 8
Source: RefSeq, a predicted model, not a curated record
UCAUGAGUCAUGACCAAAAAAUACUCUUUCUGUUUGCUUAUAUUCCACUUAUUUUGGUCUAACGUGUGUUCCUUAAUGAAAUGAAAUUUUGGUAUUCCCUGUUAAUGAUUCUGUUCCUAACGCAUGGAGUCUCAAAGUGAUUGGUAAUAGCCUUUUCUUUACUUUCCAGAAUAUAUAUACAACUAUGAGGAAAUUAUGUGGAAUCUGGAAAAAAAAAUUACUUUUUCACUGCAAUGUAUUUCGUAGACGUAUCUAUGGUCAGUGCCUUAAGCCCUUAAGUAACCGAUCAGUCCUGGAUGAUGGAGCAAUUAAGUAUAAAAACAUAUGAGUUUUAUGUGUAUGUUUUGUCUGUCGUUAGUUCAUUUUAUUAAUUAGCUUGGCUGUUCAUUACUACUAGAGUGUGGCAAUCGUUUUAAGCAGUAUGUAAUAUGUCAAGCCUUGCGCAGCUGCAGUUUGUUAAGAUGAUCACAUUGUCAAUUGCUUUUCUACAUGAAAAUGGCAUGUCCUCAUCAAUUUCAUUCAUAAUAAUUUUUCAAAUAUCUUACAGGGAACUUCUGCCAUCCUCUCAAGGUGUAUUCGUUGAAUGAUCAGAACAAAUCCCUAACGCGUCGUCCUCCAUCUGCCGUCAUCUGGACAGGCCCCUCCCCACAUCGACCCCUUGGAAGUCACGCGCGCAGAUACCUCCCGGCGCGCUGCAAUCGUCUUUGUUGGGUAUCUGUGCGGUACAGUCGUCUUUGUUGAAUGAUCAGAUUGCCAAUGGGUGGUUCGAAACAUAAACGGCCGGCCGUUCCUGCAGAUGAAGCAUAUGGGGCUUCCAUCGCUGCUGGAGCACGCAAGAAACGCAAGGCAGUUGUAGCUUCUGGAAGAGGAGAAGAAAAUUCAAUGGCCCUUUUGCGUAGUCGACACCGCCGCACAAUUUUUACACCACUUCAUUUAGGAGGGCCAAAUCAUACUUGCCCAUAUUGUGGUGCACGCUUCUGGCUCGAGGAACGUGUACGUGGACAAGGGUGCACAGCUUCUCCAGUGUACAACAAAUGUUGUAGAGCAGGAAGUAUUGCUCUAACUCCAUACAGGGCACCACCAGAGCCUUUGCUUGGCCUUCUAACAGGAAAAGAUCCUUCAUUAUCUAAACACUUCUUUGACAACAUCAGACGGUACAACUCUAUGUUUGCCAUGACUUCUAUGGGCGUCAAUGUCAUAGACUCUAUUAAUGAUGGUCAUGGCCCUUAUGUCUUCAAGAUCAGUGGCCAGCUAUGCCAUCGGAUAGGCUCACUAAUUCCAAGACAUGGUGCAAGACCAGAAUAUUGCCAGCUAUAUAUCUUUGACACUGACAAUGAGGUCAGAAAUAGAAUAGCUGUUGCAACACACUCAAAUAUAGAUUUCCAACCGAACGAAGCUAUUGUUGCUUCCUUGAUGAGCAUGCUUGAUACACACAACCCAAUUGUGCAAGUCUUUCGAACUGCUCGUGAUAGGCUGUCUAUGCAAUCAGACAAUCUAUCCGACCAAUCCUGUGACCGUUAUGCUGUGAAGCUAUUUUCUGUCCCUAAGUAGCAUGGCAGCGUCUACAGUACCCCAAUUGCAUCAGAAGUGGUCUGCUUGGUAGUGAAUGAUUUCGGAACCAGUGAUGAAGGUCGUGACUUAAUAGUGCAAGAUCACUCAUUCCAGCUCCAAAGGGUCAAAGAAACACAUCACAAAUUUAUGGCAAUGCAAUAUCCAUUGCUGUUUCCCUAUGGAGAAGAUGGCUUUCAUGAGAAUCUAGAGUACAAAAGAUGUCGUCGCUCAGAUAAGAUCAAACGGAAAAAAGUCACCAUGGUAGAAUAUUUCUCAUACAGGCUACAUGAUAGAAACGAUGAUUUCAAUACCCCUUUACAGUGCAAGAGACUAACCCAAGCAUAUGAAGUUGAUGCCUAUUGUUGUGUUGAGGAUGAGCGGCUCCGAUACUACAGAAAGAAGUCUUUACAACAAAAAUACAGAUCUAGCCCAUAUAAAGCUUUAGUUGAAGCAAUCAGUGGUGGCAUCACUGAAGCUUCAUCUGCGGGACAAAGAAUAUACCUACCAGGUUCAUUCACUGCAAGUCCACGCUACUACUACCAAAACUAUCAAGAUUGUGUUGCAUUGUGUCGUAGGUUUGGAUGCCCAAACCUAUUUAUCACUUACACAUUUAAUGCUUUGUGGCCAGAAAUUGAAGAAGGCCUAUCAUUCAUACCAGGACAACACGCUUCCGAUCGACCUGAUAUUGUCGAUCGAUUUUUCGAAAUGAAACUUAAAUUAUUUGUGGAUGACAUAGAGAAGUACGAAUUCUUUGGACCUAUACUUGGAGUUGUCUACACAAUUGAGUUUCAAAAACGAGGUCUUCCACAUGUCCACUUGAUUCUGUGGCUCAAAAAAGAUAAACCUCUCGAUGCUGAUCAAAUAGAUGCCAUCAUAUCAGCACAUUUGCCAAAUCCAUCAAUUGAUCCUAUAGGUUUUGAGGCCGUUUCAAAGUUCAUGAUUCACGGCCCUUGCGGAUCUCUGAAUACAUCUUCUCCUUGCAUGGUUGAUGGCAAAUGCGAUAGUUUCUACCCAAAGGAUUUUAGUGAGAGCACUACGGUGCUGGCUAAUGGUCAAGUUAGGUAUGCUCGCCCAGAUAAUGGCAUUACGACUCAGAAAAAUGGAAUUCAAAUUGAUAACACAUUUGUGGUCCCGCAUAAUGUAGACCUAUUGAUUAAGUACCAAGCACAUAUAAAUGUUGAAGUUGUUAAUCGCAACGGAAUGGAGAAGUACCUUUUUAAAUACACAAACAAAGGUCCUGACUGUGCUAAAGCUACACUUCAAAGAAAGAUAGGUAAUUCAAAUUCUUCUACCGAUAUAGUCGAUGAAAUAAAAGAAUACUUGGAUUGUAGAUGUGUAACUCCAAAUGAUGCAGCAUGGUGUUUGCUCCAGUUUGAUAUACACUAUACUAAUCCAUCUGUGGAGCGCCUUCCUGUCCAUCUCCCACUAGAAAACGGUGUCAUAUUUACCGAGGAUGACUAUCUUGACCAGGUGAUUGCCAAUCCAUCAAAUCUCAUAACAAAGCUAACUGCAUGGUUUGAUACCAACAGGCAGUAUCCGCAUGCUCGAGAGCACACAUAUGUAGAAUUUCCAGAACAUUGGACAUGGCAUGGUAAUCAUAAAUAUUGGGAAAGACGCCGCAAUAGUCGCGGCAAGGUUGGUCGUGUUGCUAAUGUUGCUCCUAACCAAGGGGAAAGGUUUUACCUACGUAUGUUACUGCACAUAGUCAAAGGAGCACAAUCCUUCUCUGAUCUUCGCACCGUUGCUGGCCAUCAACACCCAACAUUUCAUGCUGCAUGUGAUGCAUUAGGCUUGCUUGCUGAUGAUCAGGAGUGGUUUCAUGCUAUGGCUGAUGCAGCGCACUGGGCACUGCCAUAUCAAUUACGGCAGUUAUUUGUCACAAUAUUACUUUUUUGUGAAGUCACAAACCCAGUCAAAUUGGUCGAUGAGUAUACACAGGCGAUGGGAGAAGAUAUAUCAUAUCACGCAAAGCAAUUGAACCCAAAAGUCCCAGCAACUUACAUGCAACAACAUAUCAAAUCUUAUGUCUUAGCUGAAUUAGAAAAAUUGCUCACAGAUGCUGGAUAUAGCCUCAGUCACUUUCACUUACCACAACCAGAUCAAAAUUCCUCUCAGAUUCUUACCAACAGAUUCAUAAUGGAAGAGCUUGCCUAUGGUUCAAGUGUUGCAUUGGCAGAACUAAAUGACCAGAUCAAUUUAUUGAAUCCAAGCCAAAGGCUCAUUUACGAUAUUAUAGAACAUUCAGCCUUGAAUGGUUGUGGGCAUACCUUCUUCGUUUAUGGAUAUGGUGGGACUGGCAAAACCUUUCUAUGGAAUACAUUGCUUAAUAGUAUUAGAGUCCGAGGAAAGAUAGCCUUAGCAGUUGCAUCUUCUGGCAUAGCAGCUUUGUUACUCCCAGGAGGUCGAACACCCCACUCACGUUUUCGAAUUCCUCUGGACAUCCAGGAACAUUCCGUGUGUGCUAUUAAGAAAAAUACACAGUUGGCUGAGCUAAUAAAAUACACAUCAUUGAUCAUAUGGGACGAAGCACCUGUUAACCAUAAACAUUGCUUCGAAGCACUUGAUCGAACACUUAGAGAUAUCAUGUCAUCCAAUAGCAAUGUUCCACAAAACAAACCAUUUGGUGGGAUAACAGUUGCACUCGGUGGUGAUUUUAGGCAAACUCUACCGGUUAUCCCAAAUGCAAGAAAACAACAAAUCCUAAAUGCAUCAAUCACUCGAUCCCCUUUAUGGCGGCAUUGCAAAGUUCUCCAAUUGACUGAAAACAUGAGACUUACGUGCCCCGCUCUUUCUAACCCUGCAAGAAUUGAAUUGGAGCAAUUUUCUCAGUGGUUGCUCUCUAUUGGCGAUGGCACAACUCCUGGUAGCACCCCUACAGACCAACCUGAUAUAUCAUGGGUUAAAAUUCCGGAAUACCUUUUAUUGCCGCCUGACCAAAGGAACCUUGCAGAUCUGAUUUCUUUUGUGUAUGAGACAACUCCACAAGCAUCAAAUUUAGCUACUUAUCUAUGUGAACGAGCAAUAUUGGCCCCAACAAAUGAAGUGGCUGCUAUCAUUAAUGCAGCGAUUACUCGACAUAUGGCCACUGAAGAAAUGUCAUAUUACAGUUCUGAUGCCAUCGACGAUGCCACGACUAACUAUUGCACUCUAGAAUCUCUAUACCCUCAGGAGUUUCUCAACACGAUUCAAAUGAGUGGCCUUCCUGAUCAUCAUUUGCAGCUCAAGGUUGGUGUCCCCAUAAUGUUACUUAGAAAUCUAGAUCCAUCAAAGGGUUUGUGCAAUGGAACCAGACUCAUAGUCACACAACUCACUCAUCGCAUAAUUGAAGCUCAAAUAAUCACUGGAAAGGCUAAAGGCUCUAAAUGUUAUAUUCCAAGAAUCGUCUCUAUUUCAACAGAUCCGAAAUGGCCUUUCAAGAUAAAGCGCCAUCAAUUCCCAGUCCGCGUGUCAUAUGCCAUGACAAUAAACAAAAGCCAAGGACAGACACUUAGCAAAGUUGGUGUCUACUUACCGAGCCCCGUAUUCUCCCAUGGGCAACUAUAUGUUGCUUUCUCACGUGUUACAUCACCUAUAGGCCUGCGUGUGCUUAUUGAAAAUAACUCUGCUGAGUAUGAAAAUCAAACACAUAAUGUAGUGUACACUGAGAUUUUCAGAGAUAUAUCAAGCCAGAGCCAUUAGUUCAGAUGGUACACCAUUUUAGUAAAUUUGUACACUGACACACGCUCAUCAACAUUUCUGUACUUUGGCUUACCAACGAGGCAUCAGUAUAAUACUCCAACAUGUUAGCUGAUCCUCAACAUUGUAUUUCUGAAAAGAGCAUUCCCCAAAGAAAAUUUAUCAGAGUAAACCUCACUUGGAUGCUUAAGUGUUGAUGGAGACAUCAAUAAUACAAUUGUUUACCUGAGGAUCAAAUACAGAAAAAUUGUUCUGGCAACCAAUAUUGCAGAGAGUAGUAUUGCUAUAGAUGAUAUUAUCUAUGUAAUUGAUUGUGGUAAGGCCAAGGAGACAAGCUACGAUGCCUUGAAUAAGUUUGCAUGCCUUCUACCGUCGUCGAUAUCAAAAGCCUCUGCUCACCAGGUUACCUUGAAAAUCCAUUAAGAUCAUGUUACUUGACAAUCCAUCAAGAUCAUGUUACCUAUUUUUUCUACAUUGAACAUAGGCGAGAUCGUGCAGGCCGCGUUCAGCCAGGUUUUUGCUAUAGGCUUUACCCCAAAGGCAUUCAUGAUGCAAUGCCACAGUUUCAGUUGCCUGAAAUUCUUAUGUCUCCUUUGCAAGAACUAUGCUUAAUAUCAAAAGCUUACAGCUUGGAGCAGUAUCUUCUUUUUUAGCCAAACCACUGUAGCCCCCAGAUCCGCUUUCUGUCAAGAAUGCGAUUGAGCUACUUAAAACCAUUCAAGCACUGGAUGGUAAGGAGGAACUCACUUCUCUAGGUAUGAAGUUUUGCUACUAACCUGCAUAUAAGAUUUCUUGCCUAUUUGGUUUUAUUCCAGCUAUCUAUGUACACUGUGCUCAUCCUACUUUGGUUUUGCGCAUGAAGACAUCUCUGUAAGCUUCCACUGGACCCAAACAUUGGAAAAAUGCUGCUUAUGGAACCUGUAUUCCAGUGCCUGUAUCCAGUAUUAAACAAUUCCUGCUGCUCUUGCAUAUCGUAAUCCGUUUGUGCUCCCAAUAGGUAAAAAAGAAGCUGAUGAUCAUUUCCUGGUGACUUCUGCAGGUAAUUGUUACAACAGUUUCAUUAAUUUGAUAUUUAUUGAGAAUUGAGCAUAUUAUUCGACUAUGUCAAAAAAAAAUAAUUGUACUGUUGUUGACAUACCUGAUGGUUGUAAAUAUAGCGACAUAUCUACAUAUUGCAAUAAUUUGCUUACCACAUACUAUUCACUCUGAUCUGUAUUUAUUAUUGCCCGCGGCAACGCGCGGGGAACUAA